RNAcentral lists this ribosomal RNA (400 nucleotides) under uncultured Alphaproteobacteria bacterium. RNAcentral describes it as "bacterial SSU rRNA". It matches the Rfam family "Bacterial small subunit ribosomal RNA", at positions 50 to 496 of the family's 1533-position model. Lineage: Bacteria; Pseudomonadati; Pseudomonadota; Alphaproteobacteria. The record is from RNAcentral.
AACACAUGCAAGUCGAACGAGAUCUUCGGAUCUAGUGGCGCACGGGUGAGUAACGCGUGGGAACCUACCUUUUAGUACGGGACAACGUUUGGAAACGAACGCUAAUACCGUAUACGCCCUCCGGGGGAAAGGUCAGCCGCUAAAAGAGGGGCCCGCGUCUGAUUAGCUUGUUGGUAAGGUAAUGGCUUACCAAGGCUACGAUCAGUAGCUGGUCUGAGAGGAUGAUCAGCCACACUGGGACUGAGACACGGCCCAGACUCCUACGGGAGGCAGCAGUGGGGAAUAUUGGACAAUGGAGGCAACUCUGAUCCAGCAAUGCCGCGUGUGUGAUGAAGGCCCUAGGGUUGUAAAGCACUUUCAACGGUGAAGAUGAUGACGGUAGCCGUAGAAGAAGCCCCGG